GAGUCUCUCUCUCUCUCUCUCUGCUGCCCAGGCUGGAGUGCAGUGAUCCAAUCGCAGCUCACUACAGCCUCAACCUCUAGGCUCAAGCAAUCCACCCCCACUCAGCCUCCCCCAUAGCUGGGACCAUAGGUGUGCACCACCAUGCCCAGCUCCUUUUUUUUUUUUUUUUUUUUUGUAGAGACUGGGGUCUCACUAUGUUGCCUGGCUGGUCUUGAACUCCUGGACUCAAGCAAUCCUCCCACCUCGGCCUCCCAAAGUGCUGGGAUUAUGGGCAUGAGCCACUGCAGAUUCAGAUUUUGAGCACUUGUCUGGCUGAUUUCAAAGCCUGUCCUCUUUCCACAAUCAGGUCUUAAGUCAUAUCCUGAAGAGUUUGUCAUUGCUUUUCCAGGAAUCUGAUCCCUUCUGGUCAGGCUGGGAAGGUCUGGGCUGCCAGUGGUGUUGCAGAUGGUGUUGCAGCUCCCAGGCAGCUGAUGGAGGUGUGGAAUGAAGAGUGUGAGAGAUGACAGAGGCAGGCACGGCAGUGCUACCCAGCAGAGCCGGCUGACAGAGGUGGGGAUGCUGCAGUGGAUUGUCCAGCAAAUAGAGAUGCCAAGGCUGAGGCUUGAUUCUCUCAGACCUUCUGCCUCUGGCAGCAAGAGUGCUGGACCCGGAGCUGCGUGACCUUCACCAGGUUCCAUUUCUCAUCAAUGGGGGAGCAGGGUGACUGUACCCAAGGACUGCUAAGGUUUUCUCCAGCUCUGAAAGUCCCCAGUUCUCAACCAGUGAAAGGUCUGACGUUUCCCAUCCCUCUUUGCAAAUCCUGGGCUGACGACCAGGGAUCCAAGUCCCUCAGCCCAGCCAAGGCGACAGAAAGCCUGACUUUCCCAGCCCUGAAAAGAGCUGACGGGCUGUUCUCUGGGCUCCCCUCGGCAGCAGCAUUGACAAGGGCUGGGAGAGGGACACUGGCACAGGAGACUUCUCAAGUUGCUCCACAAAGGGCCUCUUUUUCCCAGGCACAGUGACAAAUACUGCCGCUCCCUCUGGCUAUAAAGGCCGGGGGUGCAGAAAAGGUUCCCAUGUCUGAACUCUUAAGAAAGUUGCAAGCAAAGAAAAAAAUGCGUACGGGCUUUUGGCUGUGCUUUUUGACUUGAUGCCAGAUAGCCGGUGGGUUCAAAAUUACAUCACUAUUGACUAUCUGAGUUGUUUCUCUGUUUGACCUUCUUGGAAGAAUGGUUACCUUGGCAACAGAUGGUUAUCAGUUCCUCAACAAUUUGUGCCAAGGAACAGUUUCCUGCAUGCUGAAAACCAGUGGCCUAAAAGCUAGAUCUGGCCGGCCUCACCCUCCCAGGUCUCUGAGCGGAUUGUGUAGUAGGGACAGUCCCUGACUUACAACAUUUCCACAGAUGAUUUUUCGACUAUAUGGUGGUGCAAAAGCAGUACAUGCUCAGUAGAAACCGUACUUCGAGUAUCCAUACAACCAUUCU
RNAcentral lists this long non-coding RNA (1463 nucleotides) under Macaca fascicularis (crab-eating macaque). RNAcentral describes it as "lncRNA (ENSMFAG00000048575.1)". Lineage: Eukaryota; Metazoa; Chordata; Mammalia; Primates; Cercopithecidae. The record is from RNAcentral.